Molecule: non-coding RNA, 69 nt
Organism: Rattus norvegicus (Norway rat)
Lineage: Eukaryota; Metazoa; Chordata; Mammalia; Rodentia; Muridae
Source: Rfam
GGGGAUUUAGCUCAGUGGUAGAGCACUAGCCUAGCAAGCGCAAGGCCCUGGGUUCGGUUCCCAGCUCCU